AGUGAACGCUGGCGGUAGGCCUAACACAUGCAAGUCGAACGGCAGCACAGUAAGAGCUUGCUCUUACGGGUGGCGAGUGGCGGACGGGUGAGGAAUACAUCGGAAUCUACUUUUUCGUGGGGGUUAACGUAGGGAAACUUACGCUAAUACCGCAUCCGACCUACGGGUGAAAGCAGGGGAUCUUCGGACCUUGCGCGAUUGAAUGAGCCGAUGUCGGAUUAGCUAGUUGGCGGGGUAAAGACCCACCAAGGCGACGAUCCGUAGCUGGUCUGAGAGGAUGGUCAGCCACACUGGAACUGAGACACGGUCCAGACUCCUACGGGAGGCAGCAGUGGGGAAUAGUGGACAAUGGGCGCAAGCCUGAUCCAGCCAUACCGCGUGUGUGAAGAAGGCCUUCGGGUUGUAAAGCCCUUUUGUUGGGAAAGAAAAGCAGCAGGUUAAUACCCCGCUGUUCUGACGGUACCCAAAGAAUAAGCACCGGCUAACUUCGUG
Molecule: ribosomal RNA, 492 nt
Filed under: uncultured bacterium
Lineage: Bacteria
Description: partial 16S ribosomal RNA
Rfam family: Bacterial small subunit ribosomal RNA
Source: RNAcentral